UGGCGGCACGCUUAACACAUGCAAGUCGAACGGAGAUAUUUGAGUUUACUUAGAUAUCUUAGUGGCGGACGGGUGAGUAACACGUGAGCAACCUGCCUCUGAGAGAGGGAUAGCUUCUGGAAACGGAUGGUAAUACCUCAUAACAUAUACUUUAGGCAUCUUUAGUAUAUCAAAGAUUUAUCGCUCAGAGAUGGGCUCGCGUCUGAUUAGCUAGUUGGUGAGGUAACGGCCCACCAAGGCGACGAUCAGUAGCCGGACUGAGAGGUUGAACGGCCACAUUGGGACUGAGACACGGCCCAGACUCCUACGGGAGGCAGCAGUGGGGAAUAUUGCACAAUGGGGGGAAAAACCCCUGAUGCAGCGAUGCCGCGUGGAGGAAGAAGGUUUUCGGAUUGUAAACUCCUGUCUUAAAGGACGAUAAUGACGGUACUUUAGGAGGAAGCUCCGGCUAACUACGUGCCAGCCGCCGC
RNAcentral lists this ribosomal RNA (470 nucleotides) under uncultured bacterium. Its description in RNAcentral is "bacterial SSU rRNA". It matches the Rfam family "Bacterial small subunit ribosomal RNA", at positions 37 to 518 of the family's 1533-position model. The record is from RNAcentral.